AUUGAACGCUGGCGGAAUGCUUUACACAUGCAAGUCGAACGGCAGCACGGGUGCUUGCACCUGGUGGCGAGUGGCGAACGGGUGAGUAAUGCACCGGAACGUAUCCAAUAAUGGGGGAUAACGCACCGAAAGGUGUGCUAAUACCGCAUACGCCCUGAGGGGGAAAGCGGGGGAUCGUAAGACCUCGCGUUAAUGGAGCGGCCGAUGCCGGAUUAGCUAGUUGGUGAGGUAAAGGCUCACCAAGGCGACGAUCCGUAGCUGGUCUGAGAGGACGACCAGCCACACUGGAACUGAGACACGGUCCAGACUCCUACGGGAGGCAGCAGUGGGGAAUUUUGGACAAUGGGGGGAAACCCUGGUCCAGCAAUGCCGCGUGAGUGAAGAAGGCCUCGGUUGUAAAGACUCUUUCAGUUGUAGAAGAAAAGGACGUGUGACUAAUAAUACAUAACUAAU
RNAcentral lists this ribosomal RNA (453 nucleotides) under uncultured bacterium. RNAcentral describes it as "bacterial SSU rRNA". It matches the Rfam family "Bacterial small subunit ribosomal RNA", at positions 30 to 487 of the family's 1533-position model. The record is from RNAcentral.